ACCAUUCCUUUUUUUCGUGAACUCUCAGAAUACCUAUUUUCAUUCCUAUUUUACGUCCAAAGAAAGUCGGGGAAGCUGGCACCGCCGCCGCUCGGAUAUUUUUUUGCCUGCCGAUCAUGAUAUUUCCAAGUUGGAAAAAUGCGCACAGGAUCCGGGCGCUGGCUCGAGGAGGCCCCGGGAUUUAUUGCGACGCUCGCGACCCCUCUUACCAUAGCCGAGUCGGCUUCCCGCGCGACAACAACCACGAUGAGACACAAAGAGGCCGACGACAGCAGCAGCGCGCUCCGGACGAUCUUUCGGGUCGUCCUCAUGGCCGCCAUCAUGGCCGGCAUCUCCUCGGUCAACGCCGGCUGCGGGGUCGGCGGCCCCUGUCCCAACCGCGCGUCGCCCAUCGGUGGGAGUCGUUCGGUUUACUGGUCCAGUAGCAGAAGUGGUGGAGGUGGCGGAUAUAACGUCGUCAGCAGGAGCAACGGCGGAGGCGGUUUCGGUGGAAGUAGUUUUGGCGGAGGCGGCUUCGGUGGAAGUGGUUUCGGUACGAGUGGCUUCGGUGGAGGCGGCCUCGGUGGCAGCAUGUUCGACAUCGGCAGUGGGUUCGGAGGUAUGCCUGGUUUUGCUCCGCCGAUUGUAGGUAUGCCUGGGUUCGCUUCUGGGUUUACCGGCGGGUUUGCGAGUGGAGGCGGCGGUGGAGGUGGUGGAGGAAGAAGCAGUAUCUCCAUCAAGAGUGGAGGAGGUGCCUCUGUGCGAGUGACUCGGGAUGGAGGCGUGCAUUUGUCCAUCGGGAAUAUCGAUGGUGGAAGGUCGGCCGGUGGAGGUCAUGGAUUCGCCAAGUUCGAUAGCGGCUCGGAUGGUGUCUCCUUUUCGCCGAGUUCAGGGAAAAGUAUACGUAUCAUGGACGAUGUUCGGUCGGACUUCAGCGGUGAGUGGGGUCAUGAUGGACAUGCCACCUGGGCAUCACGCGACGAUCGAGGCUACAAAACGUUCAAAGACGUCUUCACGCAAAAGCUCCGCAACGAUGGACACGAGCACGGUUCAGGGUGCACAUCUGGAUGCAACAGGAGAUAUAAAUACGAUUACGAUUACGACUCGUACGAUUCUGGCGAUGACUCUGUAAAUAUUCCAGUUCAUGAAGUAUCAAGAGAAGAAAAGUCAAAAGUGUUUGACCUGAGGGCUGGGCAGCAUGAUUUUCAUACCAGCAAAGAAUUCGAUAACGAUUUUGAGAAUUAUGAUGAAAUGGACGAUGGAUGGGACAGUUCAGACGGACAUUCGGGAUCACACUCCUCUCUUCAUGAGGAUGAAGCAAUAAACCACGACCAGUCUGACAACUCACUUGCUUCUGACUUCCGAUCUGUGUUGUCGCAAAGUAUACCCAUCGGGGGGCAAGGGACGUACGAUACUUCCAACAACAAUGGAUACAUGCUUUCAAAUGACGUGAUUGGCGCUGUGCAGGAUUUGAUAGAUGACCACUCAGGACUUCAAAUGACGUUUGCUUGCCAGCCGAAAAUCGGCAAAUAUUUGUGCAAAAUUCAAUGUGUGAAGCAAGACGAAGCGAUGACCGGAAGUUGCGAAACCGGAUAUUGCAGCUGCAUGCUCAAAGAAGAGCAUAAAUUGAGGAAGAAAAUGAACAAACGUUUUUUGGCUGCAAUGAAAGGUUUCGACACGGAUUGCGGUGAUAGGAAGAAAGCGAAACAAUGCAAGCGGUUUUGCAAGGCUCAGACGCCCGACAAGUCCUUCACUGGCCUUUGCGCGAACAACUUCUGCAAAUGCGUCACGUACCCAACGACCCCGGAGAAAAAGAAGACUGCCUGCGAGAAAGCCAUCAAAAACCUGAAGAAGAUCGAGGAUCAAGCCUUGCGACACUUGGGAGUCCAACCAGUACCUCUCAGCGGCGCCGCGGAGAAGAAUGCCAGCCUGGCCGCCGACGAAGCCAUUCAAAAGUUAAAGGCCAAUAACUCAAUAGACGACUGCACAGAAGAGGACAUCCAGAAUUUGAGGGGUGUCAUCGCGAGCCUUGCCCAAGGCCUCAACUUAGCCCGAUCUCACAGUCAAACAUCAAGCUCAUCUCACGGCGAAAAAACUGAGUCUGAAUCCACGACGUACACAGCCUCCCAUCGUCACCCAGAUCAGCGUCAAAGUAUGAGGAGAGCCAUUUUUCAAGAACCCGCCGAGGUGGACUUGAAUCUCCAAGGCCUCCAUCCUCCAAAUCAGGCUCGUCCAUCCAUGAGGAGAUUCAGGUGUCAAGAACAAACCGAGAGCCGAGUGAACCUCCACGACCUUCAUCACAUGGAUCAUUCCACGAAGAGAGUCGGGCAUCAGGAACAAGCGGAGGUGGACUAGAGAUUUUACGCCUCACGUCUCCCCCGUCGCCCAAAUCAGGUUCGGGAUUCUUCGAAGAGAGUUACACAUCAAGGACAAACCGAGAUGGUAGCGAAUCUCCACGACCUCCGAAAACGCCAAAAUCAGGUUCGAAGUUAAUUGAAGAAAUUCACGUGUCAAGAAACGAACCUCCACGACCCGUAUCACCAAAAUCAGGUUCGUCAUUCUUCGAGGGGAGAACCGUAUCAAGAACCAGCCAGGAAGGUAACGAAUCUCCACGACCUGCAGCCUCAAGAUCGCUCAAAUCAGGCUCGUCAUUUUACGAGGAGAGCCACGUAACGAGAACGAUCAGAAACGGAAACGAAUCUCCACGAACUCGAUCCGUGCGUAUCGUCACCACGACACCACCCAGAUCAGGUUCGUCGCACUUCGAGGAGAGCCACUCGACUGAAUCUCCAGGACUUCGAUCCGUCGCCUCAACGCCUGGACCAGGCUUCGAGGAGAGCCGGGUUUCGAGAACACACAGGAAUGGAGUCGAAUCCUCCGGUCGAUCGGCUCAGGCUGUGCCUUUGACGUCACCCAAAUCGGGUUCCUCAUAUUACGUGGAGAGCAGAUCAUCCGGAACGCUUGGUGGAGGUCUCGCAACCCCUACCUAUCCUUCAAUGGUUACAACCGUCUCGUCAGGCACAGCUUCUAGAGGUGGAAGUUCACCGUGCAAGUCAAAAUGCGGGAAGCCUUUGGCUUAAAUCAGGGAUUUUGGGAAAAUUUCAGAUGGCUUGCAAGAUUUUUGGAUAAUAUUUAUUACCUCGUUUUAGUUUUUACCUGUUUUUGGUCUAUGAUAUUUUUGUUCCUACGUAGUUUAGUAGCGCAUGAGAGCAGGGACCCCAUCCUCUUUUGUAUCAACCUUCCAUCUUCUCAUCAUCACCUUUUCCUCUGAUAAUUUUUCUUUAAUCAUCGCCCACCUCGGGACUAGGAAAGUACCUUGAUGGCAAAUUGUCGUGACUUAAAACACUUAGACAACAAAAAUCACUCGCUGCUAACAAAGCUAUUCACCUCUUUUUCUAUUUUCUCUUCCUUAUUUUUGUGCCUCUGUGUUUAUCAUGGAGUGUUUAUUCAUAAAUAUUUUCCAGACGAUUUACCAGUUACUAUAGUAAGUAUUAAAGCAUAGUAUAAAAAUUGAUAGAUACAAAUUAAUCAGAUUCGCUCUCGUCUGAUUCAAUCAGUUUUGGAAGUAACUUUUUCUGUUUUUUAUUUUCUUUUUUAGGGAUCUCUUCUUCCUCAUCCUCCUCUACCUCAUCAUCAUCAUCAUCAUCAUUAUCCUCACAUUCAGAAUCUUAACUUUUUCACAGUUUUUGGUUUUUUUUUCUGAACAGGUUUCUUAGUAUUUUUUUCUUCUUCUUUUCCUUUUCAUCAUCUUCAUCCAACUCCUCUUUCUUACUUACUAUGUACUUCCAUUCACUUGUUUCCGGUUCUAGUAGCCAUUGAUGCAAACUUGCAUUUUCAUCGUUAAUUCUAUUCAACGAAUAUCUUGAUUCUGCCUCCCGCUCAACUUCAGUGACUUGUUAUCUCUCAGGUUCUUCUUUCUCAUCAUUUUAAAAGUUCUUAUUUUUUAAAUAAUUUAUUUAUUUUAUAGAUUUAAAGUUUUUAACCACCUGAAUUAAGGAUGGGUUAAACUAGUUCUUCGUGAUUUUUCCCGUCCUAGAUCCUCAACCAUAACUGAGACUUUUCCGAACUCUGAUGUUUGUAUUAUUAAACCCGCUCGAAUACAGCUUUUAACAUUUUUAGAAAGCUAAUUUAAAUACAUACUAAAAUUCAUUCAUUUUUUUUAUUAAGAGAAAAUUGUACAAUUCAUUCAUGAGCCAAUUUCUUCCCCACUUUCAAGUAAUGCAUCCUGUUUAAGCAGUAAUUGCUCUGAAAUGCACGGUUAUAGCUCGUACAUUUAUCUACAGAUUUUAAUGUAAUUGAUUUUCCAUGCAUUAGAUUUAGGUAUCCUAACUGUUCCGGCUUUCUGUGAUCAUGUAAUUUAUGUUUUUCAUAUUAAGUAAUAUAGAGUCAGCAUUAUUUGUUUUCGGUGCAAACUUCCUACUUUUAAAAAAUAGAAAUAAAGGAAUUUUUCAACGGACAUAAAUUAAAAUAAUCUAGGAUUUUAAGCAAUGUACCCCUAAAAAACGUAACACACCUCCCGAAAAUCUAAUUUGCACACAUACCUACUUAACCUGAGGAUGGAAAGGAAAAAUCAAAGAGAUAUAGAACUACGGCUUUGAUCAAAAUCAAUCUAACUUCAUUACAGAUUGCCUGUAAUUCUCUCAUGUUUUAGUUUUUCGAUGGAAACUCUUUCAUAUUUGAAGAAAAUUUAGUUUAAAGGUAGUUAGGUAUUAAACUCUCUCAUUGUCGCUGCAUAAACCCGAAACACAAAGAGCUAGUAAGCAAAACUAAAGGAUAGACAUCUAAAGCUACGCUGAUCUGGCAGUGUUAAGAAAAAACUUCGAAUGAACAAUUGAAUGAUUUUGAUUUUUCCGAAUAAAAUGGUCCAAUUGUUCGUACGGCGCACUUAUGCUGAAAGGAACUAUCUUGCACGUAAACUGUAUGCACAAAGUUUUUUUCUAGCCUUAAUACGCCAAUACGGCGUCUUUACUCAGUUAUUUUGAGAAAAACUGAUCAUUCCUGCUUAAAUGUUCAUUGAGGAUGUAAGUCUUUCCCUUUUAUCUAGUUUUUUUUCCAAUUAAAUUAUAAUUAUAUUACAUCAUAUUUUCGGACCUUAAGCUUCUUUGAAAACAUACUUAUCAUGUCGCAGCAGUAGGUAAACCGUCACAUUCUCGGUACCACUUAUCUCGGUUUCAGUAACAGUG
Molecule: long non-coding RNA, 5162 nt
Filed under: Bemisia tabaci
Lineage: Eukaryota; Metazoa; Arthropoda; Insecta; Hemiptera; Aleyrodidae
Description: lncRNA ENSSSA3NGG008681
Source: RNAcentral